UAUUCCAAGGAGCGCUGCGACAGCCCAAACUAACGGGGGCUGCCAGGCUUGGACGUUCUAACGGCGCUCACCAUCU
RNAcentral lists this non-coding RNA (76 nucleotides) under beta proteobacterium AAP99. RNAcentral's name for it is "SAH (S-adenosyl-L-homocysteine) riboswitch aptamer". It matches the Rfam family "SAH (S-adenosyl-L-homocysteine) riboswitch aptamer". The record is from Rfam by way of RNAcentral. Lineage: Bacteria; Pseudomonadati; Pseudomonadota; Betaproteobacteria. RNAcentral also lists the same sequence under 1 other name.